GAGUUUUGAUCCUGGCUCAGGAUGAACGCUAGCUACAGGCUUAACACAUGCAAGUCGAGGGGCAGCGGGCAGAAAGCUUGCUUUCUGUGCCGGCGACCGGCGCAACGGGUGCGUAACGCGUAUCGAACCUACCACAUACUCAGGGAUAGCCUUGCGAAAGUAAGAUUAUACCUGAUGUUAUUAAACAAUCGCAUGAUGGUUUAAUCAAAGAUUUAUUGGUAUGUGAUGGCGAUGCGUCUGAUUAGGUAGUAGGCGGGGUAACGGCCCACCUAGCCAUCGAUCAGUAGGGGUUCUGAGAGGAAGGUCCCCCACAUUGGAACUGAGACACGGUCCAAACUCCUACGGGAGGCAGCAGUGAGGAAUAUUGGUCAAUGGACGGAAGUCUGAACCAGCCAAGUAGCGUGCAGGAUGACGGCCUCCGGGUUGUAAACUGCUUUAGUUCGGGAAUAACGACGGGACGUGUCCCUGGAACGAAUGUACCGAAAGAAUAAGGACCGGCUAAUUCCGUG
RNAcentral lists this ribosomal RNA (509 nucleotides) under uncultured Prevotellaceae bacterium. RNAcentral describes it as "bacterial SSU rRNA". It matches the Rfam family "Bacterial small subunit ribosomal RNA", at positions 9 to 507 of the family's 1533-position model. Lineage: Bacteria; Pseudomonadati; Bacteroidota; Bacteroidia; Bacteroidales; Prevotellaceae. The record is from RNAcentral.